GGGUGUAGCUCAGUGGUAGAGUGCAUGUUUAGCAUGCAUGAAGUCCUGGUUCAAUCCCCAGUACCUCCA
This 69-nucleotide transfer RNA is filed under the name Camelus bactrianus (Bactrian camel). It matches the Rfam family "tRNA". From Rfam's summary of the family: Transfer RNA (tRNA) molecules are approximately 80 nucleotides in length. The record is from Rfam by way of RNAcentral. Lineage: Eukaryota; Metazoa; Chordata; Mammalia; Artiodactyla; Camelidae. RNAcentral also lists the same sequence under 2 other names.